UGGGGAAUAUUGCACAAUGGGCGCAAGCCUGAUGCAGCAACGCCGCGUGCGGGAUGACGGCCUUCGGGUUGUAAACCGCUUUCAGUAGGGACGAAGCUAACGUGACGGUACCUACAGAAGAAGGACCGGCUAACUACGUGCCAGCAGCCGCGGUGAUACGUAGGGUCCGAGCGUUGUCCGGAAUUAUUGGGCGUAAAGGGCUUGUAGGCGGUCCGUCGCGUCAGGAGUGAAAACUCGGGGCUUAACCCCGAGCCUGCUUUUGAUACGGGCGGACUAGAGGGAUGCAGGGGAGAACGGAAUUCCUGGUGGAGCGGUGGAAUGCGCAGAUAUCAGGAGGAACACCGGUGGCGAAGGCGGUUCUCUGGGCAUCACCUGACGCUGAGAAGCGAAAGCGUGGGGAGCAAACAGG
This 409-nucleotide ribosomal RNA is filed under the name Actinomycetes bacterium. RNAcentral describes it as "Actinobacteria bacterium partial 16S ribosomal RNA". It matches the Rfam family "Bacterial small subunit ribosomal RNA", at positions 355 to 776 of the family's 1533-position model. The record is from RNAcentral. Lineage: Bacteria; Bacillati; Actinomycetota; Actinomycetes.